RNAcentral lists this ribosomal RNA (253 nucleotides) under uncultured bacterium. RNAcentral describes it as "partial 16S ribosomal RNA". It matches the Rfam family "Bacterial small subunit ribosomal RNA", at positions 524 to 776 of the family's 1533-position model. The record is from RNAcentral.
UACGUAGGGGGCGAGCGUUGUCCGGAAUUAUUGGGCGUAAAGAGCGUGUAGGCUGUUCGGUAAGUCUGAUGUGAAAGCCCUGGGCUCAACCUGGGAAUGGCAUUGGAUACUGGCGACCUAGAGUGCGGUAGAGGGUGGCGGAAUUCCCGGUGUAGCAGUGAAAUGCGUAGAUAUCGGGAGGAACAUCCGUGGCGAAGGCGGCCACCUGGACCAGCACUGACACUGAGGCACGAAAGCGUGGGGAGCAAACAGG